Molecule: ribosomal RNA, 94 nt
Filed under: Marinisporobacter balticus
Lineage: Bacteria; Bacillati; Bacillota; Clostridia; Peptostreptococcales; Thermotaleaceae
Source: RNAcentral
CACACCUGUUCCCAUACCGAACACAGAAGUUAAGCCCUUCAGCGCUGAUGGUACUUGGUGGGUAACUGCCUGGGAGAGUAGGUCGUUGCUGGUU